RNAcentral lists this ribosomal RNA (572 nucleotides) under Bacillaceae bacterium WB85. RNAcentral's name for it is "bacterial SSU rRNA". It matches the Rfam family "Bacterial small subunit ribosomal RNA", at positions 127 to 683 of the family's 1533-position model. The record is from RNAcentral. Lineage: Bacteria; Bacillati; Bacillota; Bacilli; Caryophanales; Bacillaceae.
UGCCUGUARACUGGGAUAACUUCGGGAAACCGGAGCUAAUACCGGAUAAUCCUUUCCUACUCAUGUAGGAAAGCUGAAAGACGGUUUACGCUGUCACUUACAGAUGGGCCCGCGGCGCAUUAGCUAGUUGGUGAGGUAACGGCUCACCAAGGCGACGAUGCGUAGCCGACCUGAGAGGGUGAUCGGCCACACUGGGACUGAGACACGGCCCAGACUCCUACGGGAGGCAGCAGUAGGGAAUCUUCCGCAAUGGACGAAAGUCUGACGGAGCAACGCCGCGUGAGUGAUGAAGGUUUUCGGAUCGUAAAACUCUGUUGUUAGGGAAGAACAAGUACGAGAGUAACUGCUCGUACCUUGACGGUACCUAACCAGAAAGCCACGGCUAACUACGUGCCAGCAGCCGCGGUAAUACGUAGGUGGCAAGCGUUGUCCGGAAAUUAUUGGGCGUAAAGCGCGCGCAGGCGGNUCCUUUUAAGUCUGAUGUGAAAGCCCACGGCUCAACCGUGGAGGGUCAUUGGAAACUGGGGGACUUGAGUGCAAAARAAAAGAGGGAAAUUCCCCGUGUACCGGUU